UACGAAGGGGGCUAGCGUUGCUCGGAAUCACUGGGCGUAAAGGGUGCGUAGGCGGGUUUUUAAGUCAGGGGUGAAAUCCUGGAGCUCAACUCCAGAACUGCCUUUGAUACUGGAGAGCUUGAGUCCGGGAGAGGUGAGUGGAACUGCGAGUGUAGAGGUGAAAUUCGUAGAUAUUCGCAAGAACACCAGUGGCGAAGGCGGCUCACUGGCCCGGUACUGACGCUGAGGUGCGAAAGCGUGGGGAGCAAACAGG
RNAcentral lists this ribosomal RNA (253 nucleotides) under uncultured bacterium. RNAcentral's name for it is "partial 16S ribosomal RNA". It matches the Rfam family "Bacterial small subunit ribosomal RNA", at positions 524 to 776 of the family's 1533-position model. The record is from RNAcentral.